This 443-nucleotide ribosomal RNA is filed under the name uncultured bacterium. RNAcentral describes it as "partial 16S ribosomal RNA". It matches the Rfam family "Bacterial small subunit ribosomal RNA", at positions 338 to 795 of the family's 1533-position model. The record is from RNAcentral.
CCUACGGGAGGCAGCAGUGGGGAAUAUUGGUCAAUGGAGGCAACUCUGACCCAGCAACGCCGCGUGAAUGAUGAAGGUCUUCGGAUUGGUAAGUUCUGUGUUUAUGGAUGUACACAAUGACGGUACCCCAAUAUCAAGCCACGGCUAACUACGUGCCAGCAGCCGCGGUAAUACGUAGGUGGCAAGCGUUAUCCGGACUGACUGGUCGUAAAGGUUGCUUAGGUGGUUUAGUAAGUUGGCGGUGUAAUUCCGGGGCUCAACCGCGUCACUACCGCCAAAACUAGUAGACUAGAGUGCAGGAGAGGUAAGUGGAAUUCGUAGUGUAGCGGUGGAAUGCGUAGAUAUUAGGAGGAACAUCGGGGGCGAAGGCGACUUACUGGACUGUAACUGACGCUGAGGCACGAAAGCGUGGGGAGCAAACAGGAUUAGAUACCCCUGUAGUC